RNAcentral lists this microRNA precursor (126 nucleotides) under Myotis lucifugus (little brown bat). RNAcentral's name for it is "mir-9193 microRNA precursor family". It matches the Rfam family "mir-9193 microRNA precursor family". The record is from Rfam by way of RNAcentral. Lineage: Eukaryota; Metazoa; Chordata; Mammalia; Chiroptera; Vespertilionidae.
CGUGCACCGGUGGGGUCCCUUGGCUUGGCCUGUGCCCUCUCACAAUCCGGACCCCUCGGGGGAUGUUGGAGAGCCGGUUUCCACCUAAACCCUGCAGGCCAGGCCGAGGGACCCCACCGGUGCACA